UCCUGCUGCGCCCCGCCCCCGCCCCGCCCCCGUGGAAAGCUGGCCCGGGCUGGGUUCCCGCAGACCCGAGCCGAGGGGGUGGGCGGGGGCGCUGGACGCCGGGAGAGCGAGCGUGAUUGAUUGACAGAUGAGCUCGGGUCGCUAAAGUUCAGUGUCUCUGUGCGCUGAGAUUGCAGUCAAGACCUGGGGCUUUCUGGACUGUUCCGGGCGUGAACUCAAAAUUCUCGCCUAUGGCACAGUGGAAAGCUUUGAAGAUCGACGGUCUAGGGUCAGUGUUACCCUUCCGGGGAUAAGUGACCUUGGCAAGGCCACUUCCCUUUUCCCGGCCUGGUAACAUGAACUGUGGGGAGUGGUCCUAAUGGUUGCAGCAUUAUCUUAAGGCCUGUAAGGGGAGAUCUUCCUUCACCUUCUUACUACCCACUUCCUACGACAUAACAGGAAUGCAGAGGAUACAGUGCAAUGAUUAAUAAUUGCGCAGCAGGGUUGCUGAUGUAAAGCGAUUUGCAGAUCUAAAGGGCAAUAAGCAUUCCUGGGAGGAAUCCAGCAAGAUUCCAGAAGUCUCUGAGGGAGCCAUGGAUAGGGAAACUAAGGCUCAGAGAAGUUGGUUCAUCCAGCCAAACUUGCAGAGCUGGUUAGAAACAGAUAAAAGUCAGGAUUACUGGCCUCAAAUACUCCACUCAGGCUGAAUAGGAGGGCUGCUCAGACCAAGAAGACGGGUGCCCACCAGCUGCCCUCCCGCGGUGCCAGCAGGAUGAUUUGAGGGAGUGUCUGGGCUCCCUCGCCUUCCUCCUUGACUGUUCGUGGAGCGGUAGCAGCAGAACAGCAGCUCUGCCACCUGCUGGAAGUGCGAGGCAGCACUCCCUCCUCCAAUUCCAGAAACAUCGUCAGAGUGGUGCCGGCUAGGGGAAGUUUUUCUUUGUUCACUAUGAUGGAAAUAGCAAAACUUAGCAGAAAAAAAAAAAAAUUAAAUAAAAAAAACCCCAAACCAAAAC
Long non-coding RNA from Nycticebus coucang (slow loris), 992 nucleotides. RefSeq lists it as uncharacterized. Lineage: Eukaryota; Metazoa; Chordata; Mammalia; Primates; Lorisidae. The transcript has 5 exons. The record is from RefSeq and is a predicted model, not a curated record.